AAACUGAUAAAGAUGGCGGCCGAUCGUCUCCGCCAUUUUGUUACACUGGGUCCACCCGCCUGUUUGGAUAAUGAUUCAUUUUCUGUCUUACUUGGCAAUGCGUCACGACAAAAAUAAAGUUCCUACUUCUUUAUCAAUCUAUACCGUUACCACCACGGGCACAACGUCAUUUAUAUCUAAUGCGGAACGUUUUACACUUCUGUAAAAUGGCAGGCAAAGUGAUUUGAUGUUUACUUUCUGAAACUCAAGACAACUAGGCUAUAUAUUUAAAGGAAACAAGGAAUGAAAAAAUGUGGACUCUCAAAGUGGAAAACUCAACCGUGAAUGUGUCGCUGAUGACGGAGUUCAAAAACAUUAAAUAAUUUUUUCAGUUCUUUGGUCUAAAGACACUGACUUUUCAAUUUGUUUAUCAGAAAGAUUGAAUUGAUCAAGUUUCUAAGAGGUGGAAUAGACCAGACGAUGAGGAACAGACAGAUCUUCUCUUCAGUUUAUGUUUUGUGAUGUUUGGUUCAUUUUUUUACAAUAACAUGCUUUUUUCGUGGAGGAUUUUGCUCCGAGUAAAUCUUGAGCACCUGCUUUAAAAUGGAAGGAGACUCAUCUCUAAGUAAAGUCACAUGUGCCAAUCUUGCUCAUAACACCUUCAAUGUAAGAGCUAUAAACAACCACUACCAUGUUAAGAGCUAUAUAGAUUCAUGGCUGAUAUAGAGGAAAUUCUACGCAUAAUUUUAUAUACUGUCUAUUCCGUGCAUUCUUUACGUAAAAUAUGGAAAAGUGGUUCUUUAUUUGCAGCGAGAGCAUAUUGACAUUUAUUGCAAUACAAACUGGUUGCAAUCCUUACAAAAUUGCAAUAUUGUAUGGAGUCCAUGGCCACAUUUGGCAAUUCUUGCCUUCAAAAUCCACCACCAACGCAACUCAAUUUUACCCAUGGUUGAGAAGUCCUUAGUUCAAACUGUUCUGAAAAAUUUGGGGGAUUCUGACUUAGCAUAGCUUUUACUGUGGGAUGUGGCAGUAGGCAAGGGUUGAUUGGAAUUGUAUGAAACUGAAACAGAGUCUUUAAUCUAGGAUUCUAAUCAUGAUUACUAAUGCUAGGUCAUUGUUAACUUUUUUGAACAUGAAGUUAGUAUUCAG
Molecule: long non-coding RNA, 1128 nt
Organism: Styela clava
Lineage: Eukaryota; Metazoa; Chordata; Ascidiacea; Stolidobranchia; Styelidae
Source: RefSeq, a predicted model, not a curated record